Molecule: ribosomal RNA, 370 nt
Filed under: uncultured organism
Description: bacterial SSU rRNA
Rfam family: Bacterial small subunit ribosomal RNA
Source: RNAcentral
CGGGGGGGCAAGCGUUGUUCGGAUUACUGGGCGUAAAGGGCUCGUAGGUGGCCAACUAAGUCACACGUGAAAUCCUCGGCUUAACCGGGGAACUGCGUGUGAUACUGGUUGGCUUGAGUUUGGGAGAGGGACGCGGAAUUCCAGGUGUAGCGGUGAAAUGCGUAGAUAUCUGGAGGAACACCGGUGGCGAAGGCGGCGUCCUGGACCAACACUGACACUGAGGAGCGAAAGCCAGGGGAGCAAACGGGAUUAGAUACCCCGGUAGUCCUGGCCCUAAACGAUGAAUGCUUGGUGUGGCGGGUAUCGAUCCCUGCCGUGCCGAAGCUAACGCAUUAAGCAUUCCGCCUGGGGGAGUACGGUCGCAAGGCUG